AUACGUAGGGGGCGAGCGUUGUCCGGAAUGAUUGGGCGUAAAGGGCGCGUAGGCGGCCCGGUAAGUCUGGAGUGAAAGUCCUGCUUUUAAGGUGGGAAUUGCUUUGGAUACUGUCGGGCUUGAGUGCAGGAGAGGUAAGUGGAAUUCCCAGUGUAGCGGUGAAAUGCGUAGAGAUUGGGAGGAACACCAGUGGCGAAGGCGACUUACUGGACUGUAAAUGACGCUGAGGCGCGAAAGUGUGGGGAGCAAACAGGAUUAGAUACCCUGGUAGUCCACACUGUAAACGAUGAAUGCUAGGUGUAGGGGGUAUCGACCCCUUCUGUGCCGCAGUUAACACAAUAAGCAUUCCGCCUGGGGAGUACGGCCGCAAGGUUGAAACUCAAAUGAAUUGACGGGG
RNAcentral lists this ribosomal RNA (397 nucleotides) under uncultured bacterium. RNAcentral describes it as "partial 16S ribosomal RNA". It matches the Rfam family "Bacterial small subunit ribosomal RNA", at positions 523 to 918 of the family's 1533-position model. The record is from RNAcentral.